UAAAAAAUUAGUUAGCUAUUCAUUCGAUCGUUAUUUGGUUACAAACACGAAUUUAAAUAUAUCAAAUAUACUAUACUUGAACUUUAUUCCCUAUGAGAUGAUAACUCUCUCAUCACAAUUAUUACUUGUACAACGAAUCCGGACACUUGCGAGAUUUUGACGAACGCCACCCAAAGUUGUGCGACAAAUUUCAAAUAAGACCUUUCACAUUUCAAGCCAUGUCAAAUCCGGUAGGUUUUUUAAUCUCUUUAAACACUAAACACUUGAAUUACAAGAAGAAAUGAGAUGAGUCAGAAUAAAUCAGUAUCCUAAAAAUAAUUAGCAAGAGAGAGUUGUUGCUUAGAAGUUAAAUUGGCUGAAUAAUUGGAAAAUUAAAUAGUGAGAUAAAAGAUAAGUUUGACAACCAUUUGUCCGAUCACUGUCCUAUGUCCACAACAAAUUCACUGUAACAGCACAACUAUCUCGAGGUGACAUUCUUUAUUUCUCCAAAAACAACAAUUUCCUCAUCCGAAGGACUUUGCCACCGUCCUUUUCCAGUCAAUUCCUACAUAUGAAGAACCAACACACUCCCGUGAGUCGGUGUCCAAUGUGCGUUGGACAGGACACAACUCCAACACACUGCCGACGACAAGUAUCAGAACAUCAGGUGACAUGUCACUCUUUUUGUUUUCUACUGCCAGACAUGCCGACACUCAGGGAUAAGGUUGCUAAGAUGCCAGAGUGAAGAGAAAAAACCACAAAAAUUACUGAAAAAGAAAAACUGACCUAUCUAUCUAAAAAUAUCAAUGAUGUCGGAUCUAAGAAGCACAAUAAUGGUAUAUUUCUUCAUCUUCUCCCUUCCCGCAAAUUUUUUCUUCAAAGGCACUUUCACUACAGCCUGUGAUUGGCUUCUCUCUCCUCAAAAGCAAACCCUAGUUCUUAGACUUUCG
This 929-nucleotide long non-coding RNA is filed under the name Olea europaea subsp. europaea. The record is from RNAcentral. Lineage: Eukaryota; Viridiplantae; Streptophyta; Magnoliopsida; Lamiales; Oleaceae.